This is a non-coding RNA of Podarcis lilfordi (Lilford's wall lizard), 69 nucleotides long. The record is from the annotation of a GenBank genome assembly. Lineage: Eukaryota; Metazoa; Chordata; Lepidosauria; Squamata; Lacertidae.
GCAUUAACUCACUGGUAGAGUAUCUGUCUUGCAUGCAAGAGGUCCCAGGUUUAAACCCUGGCAGCUCCA